RNAcentral lists this ribosomal RNA (303 nucleotides) under uncultured bacterium. RNAcentral describes it as "partial 16S ribosomal RNA". It matches the Rfam family "Bacterial small subunit ribosomal RNA", at positions 507 to 807 of the family's 1533-position model. The record is from RNAcentral.
AGCAGUAGCCGCGGAAAUACGGAGGGGGCUAGCGUUGUUCGGAAUUACUGGGCGUAAAGCGCACGUAGGCGGCUUUACAAGUCAGAGGUGAAAGCCUGGUGCUCAACACCAGAAUUGCCUUUGAGACUGUAUCGCUUGAACGUCGGAGAGGUGAGUGGAAUUCCGAGUGUAGAGGUGAAAUUCGUAGAUAUUCGGAAGAACACCAGUGGCGAAGGCGGCUCACUGGACGACUGUUGACGCUGAGGUGCGAAAGCGUGGGGAGCAAACAGGAUUAGAUACCCGAGUAGUCCCUGUCUCUUAUAC